GCACUGCUGAAGAGUCCCACAAUAGGACAAAACGGCCGUCCAAUGU
This 46-nucleotide non-coding RNA is filed under the name Schistosoma margrebowiei. Lineage: Eukaryota; Metazoa; Platyhelminthes; Trematoda; Strigeidida; Schistosomatidae. The record is from RNAcentral.